Molecule: ribosomal RNA, 665 nt
Filed under: uncultured bacterium
Lineage: Bacteria
Description: bacterial SSU rRNA
Rfam family: Bacterial small subunit ribosomal RNA
Source: RNAcentral
UAUACAUGCAAGUCGAGCGGACCGAAAAGAAGCUUGCUUCUAUUCGGUUAGCGGCGGACGGGUGAGUAACACGUGGGCAACCUGCCCGUAAGACUGGGAUAACUUCGGGAAACCGGAGCUAAUACCGGAUAACACGAAAGACCGCAUGGUCUUUCGUUGAAAGGCGGCGUAAGCUGUCACUUACGGAUGGGCCCGCGGCGCAUUAGCUAGUUGGUGAGGUAACGGCUCACCAAGGCGACGAUGCGUAGCCGACCUGAGAGGGUGAUCGGCCACACUGGGACUGAGACACAGCCCAGACUCCUACGGGAGGCAGCAGUAGGGAAUCUUCCGCAAUGGACGAAAGUCUGACGGAGCAACGCCGCGUGAGCGAAGAAGGUCUUCGGAUUGUAAAGCUCUGUUGUUAGGGAAGAACAAGUACCGCAGUAACUGGCGGUACCUUGACGGUACCUAACGAGAAAGCCACGGCUAACUACGUGCCAGCAGCCGCGGUAAUACGUAGGUGGCAAGCGUUGUCCGGAAUUAUUGGGCGUAAAGCGCGCGCAGGCGGUCCUUUAAGUCUGAUGUGAAAGCCCACGGCUCAACCGUGGAGGGUCAUUGGAAACUGGGGGACUUGAGCGCAGAAGAGGAGAGCGGAAUUCCACGUGUAGCGGUGAAAUGCGUAGAGA